Molecule: ribosomal RNA, 497 nt
Filed under: uncultured bacterium
Lineage: Bacteria
Description: partial 16S ribosomal RNA
Rfam family: Bacterial small subunit ribosomal RNA
Source: RNAcentral
GAUGAACGCUGGCGGCGUGCCUAAUACAUGCAAGUCGAGCGAACAGAUGAGGAGCUUGCUCCUCUGACGUUAGCGGCGGACGGGUGAGUAACACGUGGAUAACCUACCUAUAAGACUGGGAUAACUUCGGGAAACCGGAGCUAAUACCGGAUAAUAUAUUCAACCGCAUGGUUCAAUAGUGAAAGACGGUUUUGCUGUUACUUAUAGAUGGAUCCGCGCCGCAUUAGCUAGUUGGUAAGGUAACGGCUUACCAAGGCAACGAUGCGUAGCCGACCUGAGAGGGUGAUCGUGCACACUGGAACUGAGACACGGUCGACACUCCUGCGGGAGGCAGCAGUAGGGAAUCUUCCGCAAUGGGCGAAAGCUUGACGGAGCAACGCCGCGUGAGUGAUGAAGGUCUUCGGAUCGUAAAACUCUGUUAUUAGGGAAGAACAAAUGUGUAAGUAACUAUGCACGUCUUGACGGUACCUAAUCAGAAAGCCACGGCUAACUACGUG